CAAUAGCGUAUAUUAAAGUUGUUGCGGUUAAAAAGCUCGUAGUUGGACUUCUGGCAGGGCGCCGCGUGCCACAGUAGUGUGCACAAGGGCCCGGCCAUCCUUCUGUAAACGUCGGGGAAGUUUAUUCGUCCGCGGCGGGAUCAGUUAAUUUACCUUGAGAAAAUUAGAGUGUUUCAGGCAGGCUAGGCCGGAAUACAUUAGCAUGGAAUAAUGGAAUAGGACUACGGUCUCUUUGUUGGUUUGAGGGACUGCAGUAAUGAUUAAUAGGGAUAGUUGGGGGCAUUAGUACUUAACUGGUCAGAGGUGGAAUUCUCAGAUUUGUUAAAGACUGACUUAUGCGAAAGCAUUUGCCAAGGAUG
This 359-nucleotide ribosomal RNA is filed under the name uncultured eukaryote. Its description in RNAcentral is "bacterial SSU rRNA". It matches the Rfam family "Eukaryotic small subunit ribosomal RNA", at positions 592 to 966 of the family's 1831-position model. The record is from RNAcentral.